UUGCAAGGUUAAGCGGAAAAAGCGGAGCCGUAGCGAAAGCGAGUCUGAAUAGGGCGCAUAAGUAACAGGUCGUAGACCCGAAACCAGGUGAUCUACCCAUGUCCAGGAUGAAGGUAAGGUAAUACUUACUGGAGGUCCGAACCCACGCACGUUGAAAAGUGCGGGGAUGAGGUGUGGGUAGCGGAGAAAUUCCAAUCGAACUUGGAGAUAGCUGGUUCUCUCCGAAAUAGCUUUAGGGCUAGCCUCGAGGUAAAGAGUCAUGGAGGUAGAGCACUGUUUGGACUAGGGGCCCUUCUCGGGUUACCGAAUUCAGAUAAACUCCGAAUGCCAUGUACUUAUACUCGGGAGUCAGACUGCGAGUGAUAAGAUCCGUAGUCGAAAGGGAAACAGCCCAGACCACCAGUUAAGGUCCCCAAAUAUAUGUUAAGUGGAAAAGGAUGUGGGGUUGCUUAGACAACCAGGAUGUUGGCUUAGAAGCAGCCACCAUUGAAAGAGUGCGUAAUAGCUCACUGGUCGAGUGACCCCGCGCCGAAAAUGUACCGGGGCUAAACAUAUUACCGAAACUGUGGAUGAACCUCUUUAGAGGUUCGUGGUAGGAGAGCGUUCUAAGGGCGGUGAAGUCAGACCGGAAGGACUGGUGGAGCGCUUAGAAGUGAGAAUGCCGGUAUGAGUAGCGAAAGAAGGGUGAGAAUCCCUUCCACCGAAUAUCUAAGGUUUCCUGAGGAAGGCUCGUCCGCUCAGGGUUAGUCGGGACCUAAGCCGAGGCCGAUAGGCGUAGGCGAUGGACAACAGGUAGAGAUUCCUGUACCAGUGCUAAUUGUUUAACCGAUGGGGUGACACAGAAGGAUAGGGAAUCGCACGAAUGGAAAUGUGCGUCCAAGCAGUGAGUGUGAGAAGUAGGCAAAUCCGCUUCUCGCGAAGCAUGAGCUGUGAUGGGGAAGGAAAUUAAGUACGGAAGUUCCUGAUUUCACGCUGUCAAGAAAAGCCUCUAGGAAGAGUAGUACUGCCCGUACCGCAAACCGACACAGGUAGAUGAGGAGAGAAUCCUAAGGUGAGCGAGAGAACUCUCGUUAAGGAACUCGGCAAAAUGACCCCGUAACUUCGGGAGAAGGGGUGCUCUAUUAGGGUGCAAGCCCGAGAGAGCCGCAGUGAAUAGGCCCAGGCGACUGUUUAGCAAAAACACAGGUCUCUGCAAAACCGUAAGGUGACGUAUAGGGGCUGACGCCUGCCCGGUGCUGGAAGGUUAAGAGGAGUGCUUAGCUUCGGCGAAGGUACGAAUUGAAGCCCCAGUAAACGGCGGCCGUAACUAUAACGGUCCUAAGGUAGCGAAAUUCCUUGUCGGGUAAGUUCCGACCCGCACGAAAGGCGCAACGAUCUGGGCACUGUCUCAACGAGAGACUCGGUGAAAUUAUAGUACCUGUGAAGAUGCAGGUUACCCGCGACAGGACGGAAAGACCCCGUGGAGCUUUACUGCAACCUGAUAUGGAAUGUUUGUACCGCUUGUACAGGAUAGGUAGGAGCCGAAGAGACGUGUGCGCUAGCAUACGAGGAGGCAAUGGUGGGAUACUACCCUGGCUGUAUGACCAUUCUAACCCGCCACGCUUAGCGCGUGGGGAGACAGUGUCAGGUGGGCAGUUUGACUGGGGCGGUCGCCUCCUAAAGAGUAACGGAGGCGCCCAAAGGUUCCCUCAGAAUGGAUGGAAAUCAUUCGCAGAGUGUAAAGGCACAAGGGAGCUUGACUGCGAGACUGACAAGUCGAGCAGGGACGAAAGUCGGGCUUAGUGAUCCGGUGGUUCCGCAUGGAAGGGCCAUCGCUCAACGGAUAAAAGCUACCCCGGGGAUAACAGGCUUAUCUCCCCCAAGAGUCCACAUCGACGGGGAGGUUUGGCACCUCGAUGUCGGCUCGUCGCAUCCUGGGGCUGUAGUCGGUCCCAAGGGUUGGGCUGUUCGCCCAUUAAAGCGGCACGCGAGCUGGGUUCAGAACGUCGUGAGACAGUUCGGUCCCUAUCCGUCGCGGGCGCAGGAAAUUUGAGAGGAGCUGUCCUUAGUACGAGAGGACCGGGAUGGACACACCGCUGGUGUACCAGUUGUUCCGCCAGGAGCAUCGCUGGGUAGCUAUGUGUGGCAGGGAUAAACGCUGAAAGCAUCUAAGCGUGAAGCCCCCCUCAAGAUGAGAUUUCCCAUUUCUUCGGAAAGUAAGAUCCCUGAAAGAUGAUCAGGUAGAUAGGUUUGGAGUGGAAGUGUAGCGAUACAUGGAGCGGACAAAUACUAAUCGAUCGAGGACUUAACCAAAA
This 2294-nucleotide ribosomal RNA is filed under the name Listeria monocytogenes. Its description in RNAcentral is "partial 23S ribosomal RNA". It matches the Rfam family "Bacterial large subunit ribosomal RNA", at positions 638 to 2925 of the family's 2925-position model. Lineage: Bacteria; Bacillati; Bacillota; Bacilli; Caryophanales; Listeriaceae. The record is from RNAcentral.